Molecule: non-coding RNA, 27 nt
Filed under: Drosophila melanogaster (fruit fly)
Lineage: Eukaryota; Metazoa; Arthropoda; Insecta; Diptera; Drosophilidae
Also listed under: 2 other names
Source: RNAcentral
UCGUAACAAGGUUUCCGUAGGUGAACC